CAGCGCCACGAGUGGUAACCGCGAUUAUUGGGCCUAAAGCGUCCGUAGCCGGCCUUAUAAAUCCUUUGUGAAAUUGUGCGGCUUAACCGUACAACGUGCAAGGGACACUGUAAGGCUCGAGACCGGGAGGAGUCAGAAGUAUUCCAGAGGGAGCGGUAAAAUGUUUUAAUCUCUGGAGGACUACCUAUGGCGAAGGCAUCUGACCAGAACGGAUCUGACGGUGAGGGACGAAAGCCAGGGGAGCGAACCGGAUUAGAGACCCGAGUAGUCC
This 271-nucleotide ribosomal RNA is filed under the name uncultured archaeon. RNAcentral describes it as "partial 16S ribosomal RNA". It matches the Rfam family "Archaeal small subunit ribosomal RNA", at positions 477 to 747 of the family's 1478-position model. The record is from RNAcentral.